RNAcentral lists this ribosomal RNA (661 nucleotides) under Spinoza sp. G0154. RNAcentral's name for it is "partial 28S large subunit ribosomal RNA". It matches the Rfam family "Eukaryotic large subunit ribosomal RNA", at positions 658 to 1270 of the family's 3401-position model. The record is from RNAcentral. Lineage: Eukaryota; Metazoa; Arthropoda; Insecta; Coleoptera; Cleridae.
AACACGGACCAAGGAGUCUAGCAUGUGCGCGAGUCAUUGGGAAUUACUAAACCUAAAGGCGCAAUGAAAGUGAAGGUCCGCCUCGCGCGGACCCAGGGAAGAUGGGCGUCAUCCACCGCAAGUUGGACCGCCCCGCACUCCCGGGGCGUCUCGUUCUCAUUGCGAGAAGAGGCGCACCAAGAGCGUACACGCUGGGACCCGAAAGAUGGUGAACUAUGCCUGGUCAGGACGAAGUCAGGGGAAACCCUGAUGGAGGUCCGUAGCGAUUCUGACGUGCAAAUCGAUCGUCGGAACUGGGUAUAGGGGCGAAAGACUAAUCGAACCAUCUAGUAGCUGGUUCCCUCCGAAGUUUCCCUCAGGAUAGCUGGCGCUCGUCGCCUACGAGUCUCAUCCGGUAAAGCGAAUGAUUAGAGGCAUUGGGGUCGAAACGGCCUCAACCUAUUCUCAAACUUUAAAUGGGUGAGAUCUCCGGCUUGCUCGAACUAUUGAAGCCGCGAGAAACGGAUCAGAGUGCCAAGUGGGCCAUUUUUGGUAAGCAGAACUGGCGCUGUGGGAUGAACCAAACGCCGAGUUAAAGCGCCUAAAUCGACGCUUAUGGGAUACCAUGAAAGGCGUUGGUAACUUAAGACAGCAGGACGGUGGCCAUGGAAGUCGGAAUCCG